GUACCGAAGCUCUGUCACGGAGAAGGCAACAAUUACUCUCAGAAUCUCCUUCAGCCUUCAUUCUGAGUCUUCUAGAUGUGAAGAAUCUGAAGCAGGGUCUCUCCAGAUUUGUCAGAGGGUGUCCUUGUGAUCUGGGUCACUGCAUCUCUUGGGAUUUUGUUCCAGGUGUGGGAUGUCUGACAGAACUGGGCUCACAGCUCUAGCCAUGCAACCUGUUCCUCACUUCCUAGCAUGUGCCUGCUCCGGUCUCCCUGUAGCAUCAUGGGAGCGGUUCUUCCUCCACAGCCCUCACCCCAUUCUUACCUACAAGGAAUGAGAGAGAAGACUGGGUCUUAGGUUUGAGCCCAGCUUCUGGGCUGCCUUUGUGCAAUGAUCUGAGCUGUUCUUUUGUCAGUUGACACUCAAUGGACACGGCCAUGUGCCAGGCCCUCAGUAGGGGUUGGAUCCCAGGAUCGGUAGUCUGGUGUCCAAGCCUUCCACAGGGAGCUGGCCGAGUCCAGGACAAUCAGGAAGACAAAGGUGCUGAGCUCUGCCAGGCUCAUCUCAAGUUGUGACACCCCUCCUUCCAUGAACGGUAGCGACUUUCAGUCCUUGUUCCGACUACUAGCCUAGGCUUGAGCAGAGUCAGUCGAUUUCGGCUCCAUCGUGGUAUGUAUGUUGCCUGCAAACCUUAGCCUUUUAUAGACAGAUGGUCUAUCUCUGACAGCCUAGGACACCUUGUCAAGCAUUUAAAAUUAUUCAUAUCUUGUUUCAUUGUCUAUUUAUUUGACUAUUUAUUUAUUGUCUAUUUAUUUCCUCCUCUCACCCUGUCUCCUCUCCUUUCCUCUUUGUUGUGUGUGUGUGUGUGUGUGUGUGUGUGUGUAGCACCUAUGUUCUGUGCCUAGGAUCUGGAGGUUACAGGAUAACCCUAUGAAGUCAUUCUCUCCAACCACUUUGAAGGACACAGGGAUUGAACACUGUUGCUUACUCCUCCAAAUGUUUUUGCAGGUGGGGAACCUAAUGGACAAGAAGCAGUGUCAGAACUUGUUGGAGAAGUCUAUGACUGCUCUGGGGAAAUGGGAGCCUUGACCUUGGCCCACACUUGUGCUGUUCUCCUUCUUUGGAUGCCAGUCAGGACAACGAGAUCUCUGUCCCUCAGAAUUGCCUUGAGCUCUUCUGCUCCUGUGCACUGCACUCAGUGAGGAGGUUGGGAACAAGUGUAAAAUGAAUGAAAUACAGGCUCUGGAUUCUAUCAGAAACCUGCAUCACACCCCUGAAGCUCUGAGAAGCCGACAACCAGUUCAAGAACAAAUAUUCUCUGAGGACAUGAAGACAAGGGAACACUAACAAAUCCAUAUAGUCCUAUCUCCCGGAAGACAGGUCAAGCUGUUCCUGUCAGAAGGGUGGGUGAUAUGAGCCACUCAGAACUUCACUAUGAAACAGAAAGCCAAGACUCAGAUUACUUUUCCCACAGUCUUCCUCAGGCUGGUCUUAGAACUGAAGAUCACCCAGGACAUCCUCUUUUAGCUAAGUAUGAAGAACAGGGUACUUAGUGUGUUCGGGACUGCCUGGGAAGGGAUGCCCAUGGGAGGAAGAAAUCUGACCACCAGGUGGAAGGCACUCAAGUGACCCCAGAACGGUAAAAUUAAAAACCAUCGAAGAAUCAACAGUACAAUGAGAGAGAAAAGAGCCUACAAGCUGCAUGAAUUCAGGCAAGUUCUGCAAUCCUGAGGUCCACUGUUCUUUGCCAAGUGAGAGACCAUCUCUACAGGCUUUGCCAUGCAGAGACCCCUUGGACAGGCAUUCAUAUGCUGAUCAGAGACUAGGCUGCAUGACUCCCUACACUGAACACUGUGCCUGUGUCUGAGACCGAGUUAAGAUGCACUGUGUCCUUGUGAGAAAAAGGAAAACAAGGCUGAAUAAGGCCUCUCCUGAGGCUGGGGAUGCAGCCUGAGGAAACAUUCCACACAAAACAUUGAGGAGGGUCUUACUACCUCAGACACACCUCUCCAGAAACACCCUCAGAUAUGUGCCCAGUUUUCUUUCUCUUAAACAAACAGAGUUCCUGCCACAGUACCUAGAAUCCAGUCUCAACCUCAGAUGUCAUUAUUCAGGGCCCUGCUGCCCACAUUCCGGCUGUAUUGACUGGUUCUCCAGGAAGAGGUGGAUCUCUCUUGCUUGACUGCUGCUCCUUCCUUCUAAUGAUGCCAGCAGAAUCAUUAGACUCUCCAUGUGACUAUUUUAGAGUCCCUCUGAGUGAUACCAGGGCAUUUUUGGCUAUGGAGAAAUAUCCCUCCCUCUGCAAGAGUGACCCCAGGUUACCUCUAUAUGGGACCCAGAAAAAAUGCUCUACUCCCUCAGACAUUCUGUCUCAUUGCUGAGACCACCAGGGCAGGAGGACAACCCAUGAUCUGCUGAGCCAUCUGCACCUGGCAAGGCCACCCUUUCUCUACUAAAUAAAGGGCACUGGAGUCGCCA
Peromyscus eremicus (cactus mouse) is the source of this 2457-nucleotide long non-coding RNA. RefSeq lists it as uncharacterized. The transcript is spliced from 7 exons. Lineage: Eukaryota; Metazoa; Chordata; Mammalia; Rodentia; Cricetidae. The record is from RefSeq and is a predicted model, not a curated record.